CGGAUGGGUUGUUAGGAUGGGUUGUUAGGAUGGGUUGUUAGGAUGGGAGGUUAGGAUGGGUUGUUAGGAUGGGUUGUUAGGAUGGGUUGUUAGGAUGGGCAGUUACGGAUGGGAGGUUAGGAUGGGUUGUUAGGAUGGGUUGUUAGGAUGGGUUGUUAGGAUGGGUUGUUAGGAUGGGAGGUUAGGAUGGGAGGUUAGGAUGGGUUGUUAGGAUGGGUUGUUAGGAUGGGCAGUUAUGGAUGGGUUGUUAGGAUGGGUUGUUAGGAUGGGUUGUUAGGAUGGGCAGUUACGGAUGGGAGGUUAGGAUGGGUUGUUAGGAUGGGUUGUUAGGAUGGGUUGUUAGGAUGGGCAGUUACGGAUGGGAGGUUAGGAUGGGUUGUUAGGAUGGGUUGUUAGGAUGGAUUGUUAGGAUGGGUUGUUAGGAUGGGAGGUUAGGAUGGGUUGUUAGGAUGGGUUGUUAGGAUGGGUUGUUAGGAUGGGCAGUUACGGAUGGGUUGUUAGGAUGGGUUGUUAGGAUGGGUUGUAAGGAUGGGUUGUUAGGAUGGGUUGUUAGGAUGGGUUGUUAGGAUGGGUUGUUAGGAUGGGUUGUAAGGAUGGGUUGUUAGGAUGGGUUGUUAGGAUGGGUUGUUAGGAUGGGUUGUAAGGAUGGGUUGUUAGGAUGGGCAGUUACGGAUGGGAGGUUAGGAUGGGUUGUUAGGAUGGGUUGUUAGCAAGUGCGGGUGAACAAACAGCUGACCCAUGCACCACUAACGGACACACACGAACACUCACACAUUCUGCUGAAAUUCAAUACAUCAUGUUUUCUCUUCAUGCUUUAUUGACACCACACUCCAC
Oncorhynchus tshawytscha (Chinook salmon) is the source of this 834-nucleotide long non-coding RNA. The record is from Ensembl. NCBI's taxonomy places the organism in Eukaryota, Metazoa, Chordata, Actinopteri, Salmoniformes, Salmonidae.